AACGACUCUCGGCAACGGAUAUCUCGGCUCUCGCAUCGAUGAAGAACGUAGCGAAAUGCGAUACUUGGUGUGAAUUGCAGAAUCCCGUGAAUCAUCGAGUCUUUGAACGCAAGUUGCGCCCGAAGCCUUCCGGCUUAGGGCACGUCUGCCUGGGCGUCACGC
This 162-nucleotide ribosomal RNA is filed under the name Claytonia lanceolata var. lanceolata. Its description in RNAcentral is "5.8S ribosomal RNA". It matches the Rfam family "5.8S ribosomal RNA". Rfam says of the family: 5.8S ribosomal RNA (5.8S rRNA) is a component of the large subunit of the eukaryotic ribosome. It is transcribed by RNA polymerase I as part of the 45S precursor that also contains 18S and 28S rRNA. Lineage: Eukaryota; Viridiplantae; Streptophyta; Magnoliopsida; Caryophyllales; Montiaceae. The record is from RNAcentral.